GUGCUUGCUUCAGCAGCAUAUAUACUAAAAUUGGAAUGAUACAGAGAAAAUUAGAAUGGCCUCUGCAUAAGGAUGACAUAUUUUUAUUGUUGGAUCACUAAAUUGUA
Callorhinus ursinus (northern fur seal) is the source of this 107-nucleotide small nuclear RNA. Lineage: Eukaryota; Metazoa; Chordata; Mammalia; Carnivora; Otariidae. The record is from RefSeq and is a predicted model, not a curated record.